This 526-nucleotide ribosomal RNA is filed under the name uncultured bacterium. RNAcentral describes it as "bacterial SSU rRNA". It matches the Rfam family "Bacterial small subunit ribosomal RNA", at positions 984 to 1509 of the family's 1533-position model. The record is from RNAcentral.
ACAUCCAGAGAAUUUAGCAGAGAUGCUUUAGUGCCUUCGGGAACUCUGAGACAGGUGCUGCAUGGCUGUCGUCAGCUCGUGUCGUGAAAUGUUGGGUUAAGUCCCGNAACGAGCGCAACCCUUAUCCUUUGUUGCCAGCACGUAAUGGUGGGAACUCAAAGGAGACUGCCGGUGAUAAACCGGAGGAAGGUGGGGAUGACGUCAAGUCAUCAUGGCCCUUACGAGUAGGGCUACACACGUGCUACAAUGGCGCAUACAAAGAGAAGCGACCUCGCGAGAGCAAGCGGACCUCAUAAAGUGCGUCGUAGUCCGGAUUGGAGUCUGCAACUCGACUCCAUGAAGUCGGAAUCGCUAGUAAUCGUAAAUCAGAAUGUUACGGUGAAUACGUUCCCGGGCCUUGUACACACCGCCCGUCACACCAUGGGAGUGGGUUGCAAAAGAAGUAGAUAGCUUAACCUUCGGGAGGGCGUUUACCACUUUGUGAUUCAUGACUGGGGUGAAGUCGUAACAAGGUAAGCGUAGUGCU